UGUCCCGAGUUCUUUGAAGUGAAACAUGGAUGAAUAUUUUCUGGGAUGACGGGGUUGGAUGCCAAACUGAAAAUUCUUACUGCAGCAAAUCUGAUAUAAUUAAAGAGCAUAAAGGUGAGGCUAGGGGCGAUUAAGAAGAAGAGGAACGCUGUGCUGAAGUAUCUGAAGAAUAAUGUUGCUGUUCUUCUCAAGCCUUCAUAUUAAUGUAUAUGGAGGGUUAAGUUUCAUGGCUCAUUAGUUUUAAUGUAUAUGAUGUGUCAAUUUUAUCAUUGUUUUGCUUGGCCUUAAUAGAAAUUAAUACAUUCCUUAAUAUUUAAAGUACAUUUGAAUUUCAUGUUAUUUGUGGAUCAACUUUCUAGUACCAAAUACAGCAGGAAAGGGAUAUGAAAAAAA
Molecule: long non-coding RNA, 393 nt
Organism: Rosa chinensis
Lineage: Eukaryota; Viridiplantae; Streptophyta; Magnoliopsida; Rosales; Rosaceae
Exons: 2
Source: RefSeq, a predicted model, not a curated record